GUUACUGUCAUUUGAAAAUGCUUGCAAUUUAAAAGGUGAGUUUUUUUUCUUCAUCUUUUUCGUCUUUUUUUUUUUUUUUUUCGUUUGGUUUUUUAUGCUUACUAAUUUGGGAUUGAGAUGCAGUUGAUUGAUUCAUUAUUUUGUUAAGUAAAUUUUUCUGUGGAAAGUUUGAAAUCCUUAUUACCGUUUUUGUGUGUUAUAGAAUAUUUGUUAAUUGGAGGGAAGAAUGUAGAAAUUCCUUAACACUAUGAAGCGUUUUGCUGCUUUGGGCAGCUGUAACUUAGACUCUGGAGAAACAAAAAUGAGAGGAAUAGAUGAAUUGGGGGCGGGGGGGCGGGCAAGGUAUUGGGCGGUGGGUUUGGUUCCUAAGGUCUUCUUAGUUAGGGAUUAAGUUAAAAUUUAUCCUGUUGUUAUUUGGGUAAAGAUUUCAUACCUGUUAAGUAUUAUUUAGAAUGUGCGUUUAGGUGGUUUUGUUAAAUAUGAAAGUUAUCAACUUUAUGGACAUUCCUGCAUGCCUUAUUUCUUCGUCGCUGAAACUGUAAAUUUUGCAGUCUACAUAGUGGUGAUAGGCUUUGCUGAAAGAAAAAAGAUAAAACUUUUUAAUCUUGUUAACUGGAGGAGUCAUAUCCCUGUGGAGUCUGAUUCCUUAACUUUGGACGUGUAGUAUCAAUGCUGAGAUUAGUUGAUUACCUUGUCAGUUUUUUGCAUUGGCUUCUCCUUUCUUCUCUUCCUCUUGUUUCUUUCUCUUCAUAUUUGUAAAUGCCUGCAAGGUCAUGAAAAUUUGUUUUUCGCUACUUUGCUGGAAUUAGAUUUCUUGAAUUAUUUGAAUUGAAGGUUACAGUUUGUCUUUAAACGGGCUGCUGGAUGAGUUAAUUUGGUGAUCUGCACGUCGGAACUCUCUUGGACCGCCAGGUGGGAUCGUGCACCCAAGCAUUGCUAAUUCUAUUGAUAGCUGGCUGUUUGAGAUGUAUGGUCAGGGUAACUAUGCCACUCAGAUAGGUCAAAAUGCUAAUACGUCUAGGCCUCCAUUGCAGCAGUGGCCUCCUCCCCCCUCCCCUCCUCCUUCCUGCCUCU
RNAcentral lists this long non-coding RNA (1074 nucleotides) under Nicotiana tabacum (common tobacco). RNAcentral describes it as "long non-coding RNA (NTAB_LNC016478)". The record is from RNAcentral. Lineage: Eukaryota; Viridiplantae; Streptophyta; Magnoliopsida; Solanales; Solanaceae.